RNAcentral lists this long non-coding RNA (303 nucleotides) under Cavia porcellus (domestic guinea pig). RNAcentral describes it as "lncRNA (ENSCPOG00000039791.1)". Lineage: Eukaryota; Metazoa; Chordata; Mammalia; Rodentia; Caviidae. The record is from RNAcentral.
GUCUCGGGGAGAGAAAGAAGGGGCCCUGGUGGUGCCCCCUGGUUGCUGUUGCUGGCCUGCCAGUCACCUCUGGCCCUGCCAGCCUCCUUCCCUUCCUCCAGCCCUCAUUAUACGGGGUACCCAAAGUUGAGAGGACGCUGCCCUGCUUGAGGGGCAUCCGAUCUAGAAGUGCAGCGAGAAGCAGCCCAAAGGCCUGGGCUGUGCUGGCAUCGCAGAAUCUGGGCACCACUGCCCCCUGGUGGUGAUCUAAGACUUCUCCGUGUCUGGGCACCCCCACAUCAGGUCGCAGAGCAAAUCCCUGAA